UAAAUACUAGCUUUGAGUUACUAUGUAGGUAUGCACCCCUGUUUCUGUGGAAAAGUGUAAAAUUGCAUUUCUCACAGAGAUGCAGGGAACUAAUUGGCAUGUUUAAAUGUUUGGGAUCAUUUAUUUCUUGAUAUAUAUGAAUAAUUUUGGCAUUGAGUUUUAGCCUGCCUUUUUGCUGUUUCAUACAGCUUGGUUUGUCAAGUGUGCCCUAUCAAGUAGGUCACUAGAGGAUUCAGAUCUCACUCAGAGACAUAGAUGUGUUUGGGAUAAGAUCCUGUACAAAAAACAUGAGAUCAGAAUAAAUCUUAUGUUCUGCUGCUGUGGAUGUUAACAGUAAGGGCUUGGUUGUGAACUCAGAUGCAUUUUGUUUUUUAGGAGUAAAAUAAGAGUGCUGUUCAUUACAGGUGCAGUUUAUGAAUACUUCAGUAGAUCCCAUAGGUCUGACAAUUCUCUUCUACUAAAUCUGUCAGUUGCCUUUGAGAUGACAGUGGCCUUAUUGUUCAGGCUUUUAUUUUGAUUGCGGGUUUUAUCAAGUGUUAUCAAAAUAGCAGUUCAAUUUUUUAAUCCUCCCCUCUUUGAAGAAGAUAAAAGUUUGGUGGCUUUUCUGUCCUACAAAUACUAUUAUGACAAUUCAGGAUUUAAAUUUUCACAUCUUUUAGGACAAGCACGUUUCUGCCUAUAAUUACAUAUGUAAGACAAUUCCUGGAAGGAUUUGGGAUAUGCAUGACAGUUUGUUUAAGUCUAAAGUUCCUUCUGCCAAACAGUCUUCACAUAAGGGAUCUGUUUUGUGCACAGCCAACGUUAUUCAGUGUUUUGGAACUUGCCAAGAGGAAUUCUGCAAAGAAACUGGACCAUAGCACCAGCUGAAAUAGCACAAUAGAAAAUGCCACUUUGACAGUUGGAAGAAAUCCAGGGCACAGAGUCAACUGCUGCCUUCUGUUGUCUCAGUACUGGUCUUGUGUCUGGAUUACAGAAGACUUGUGAUUUUUCCCAGUCUCAGUCUGCGAGAAAAAGCCUGUCUUCAGUUUUAGUAGAUAUGUUUUAUCUGCACCUUUUUUGAUGCUAGGAAAGUCAUAGAGUAAGUCAUCUUGGAACAGAGUUCAGAUCACAUGAAGUUGGUGGUGGUCGGUGGAAAGUCAGCACUAAUUACCUUCUAUAAUAAAAAUAUCUGGAUUCACA
This 1179-nucleotide long non-coding RNA is filed under the name Phasianus colchicus (ring-necked pheasant). RNAcentral describes it as "lncRNA (ENSPCLG00000002662.1)". Lineage: Eukaryota; Metazoa; Chordata; Aves; Galliformes; Phasianidae. The record is from RNAcentral.